Molecule: ribosomal RNA, 472 nt
Filed under: uncultured bacterium
Lineage: Bacteria
Description: bacterial SSU rRNA
Rfam family: Bacterial small subunit ribosomal RNA
Source: RNAcentral
GAUGAACGCUGGCGGCGUGCUUAACACAUGCAAGUCGAACGGAUUUAACAGAAAGCUUGCGUUCGGUUAAAUUAGUGGCGGACGGUUGAGUAACGCGUGGAUAACCUGCCGUAUACAGGGGGAUAACACUUAGAAAUAGGUGCUAAUACCGCAUAAGCGCACAGUUUCGCAUGAGACAGUGUGAAAAACUCCGGUGGUAUACGAUGGAUCCGCGUCUGAUUAGGUAGUUGGUGGGGUAACGGCCCACCAAGCCGACGAUCAGUAGCCGGCCUGAGAGGGUGAACGGCCACAUUGGGACUGAGACACGGCCCAAACUCCUACGGGAGGCAGCAGUGGGGAAUAUUGCACAAUGGGGGAAACCCUGAUGCAGCGACGCCGCGUGAGUGAAGAAGUAUUUCGGUACGUAAAGCUCUAUCAGCAAGGAAGAAAAAAGGACGGUACUUGACUAAGAAGCCCCGGCUAACCUAACGUG